AUACGGAGGAUCCGAGCGUUAUCCGGAUUUAUUGGGUUUAAAGGGUGCGUAGGCGGACUUAUAAGUCGGCGGUGAAAUUCUUAAGCUUAACUUAAGGCUUGCCGUUGAUACUGUUUGUCUUGAGUUUAGUUGAGGUAGGCGGAAUGUGGUGUGUAGCGGUGAAAUGCUUAGAUAUACCACAGAACACCGAUUGCGUAGGCAGCUUACUAAACUAUCACUGACGCUGAUGCACGAAAGCGUGGGGAUCAAACAGGAUUAGAUACCCUGGUAGUCCACGCCGUAAACUAUGAUUACUGGUUGUUUGCGAUACAUUGUAAGUGACUGAGUGAAAGCAUUAAGUAAUCCACCUGGGGAGUACGUCGGCAACGAUGAA
Molecule: ribosomal RNA, 373 nt
Filed under: uncultured bacterium
Lineage: Bacteria
Description: bacterial SSU rRNA
Rfam family: Bacterial small subunit ribosomal RNA
Source: RNAcentral